CGCUAGUCUGCUGUAUGUUGAAGUAGAUUUGUGGUAAUGUUAUCUACUUGCAUUAAAGGUCAUUCCAAAAGGACUUGUGGAGCGCUGCUCCUUCCAAAGCCCCCAGAAGUUCAUAAAUGAUCUCCUACAUGGGAUGUAUACCAGGGAAUAUAUGGCAGGCCAUUCAGUGACUGGCCAGUCAUCCAGCAGCUGCACAGAAGGAAAACCUGGCCUAGCCAAACAGGACCUUGUUGAAAUAACAAAUGCUGCAAAGUUGAAGUUCACCUACGUAACUGAUACGAACAUAAAAGCAUUUAUACGACAAAAGCUGAACAAUGCUGCCAAAUUUCAGAAACAAUAAAUUAUCAACUGUUUAAAGAAAGUUAAA
Gadus morhua (Atlantic cod) is the source of this 367-nucleotide long non-coding RNA. RefSeq lists it as uncharacterized. Lineage: Eukaryota; Metazoa; Chordata; Actinopteri; Gadiformes; Gadidae. The record is from RefSeq and is a predicted model, not a curated record. The transcript is spliced from 2 exons.